This 253-nucleotide ribosomal RNA is filed under the name uncultured bacterium. Its description in RNAcentral is "partial 16S ribosomal RNA". It matches the Rfam family "Bacterial small subunit ribosomal RNA", at positions 524 to 776 of the family's 1533-position model. The record is from RNAcentral.
UACAGAGGUCUCAAGCGUUGUUCGGAUUCAUUGGGCGUAAAGGGUGCGUAGGCGGCCCUGUAAGUCCGUUGUGAAAGUCAAAGGCUCAACCUUUGAAAGCCGAUGGAUACUGCAGGGCUAGAGUCCGGAAGAGGCGAGUGGAAUUCCUGGUGUAGCGGUGGAAUGCGCAGAUAUCAGGAGGAACACCAAUAGCGAAGGCAGCUCGCUGGGACGGUACUGACGCUAAGGCGCGAAAGCGUGGGGAGCGAACAGG